This 1225-nucleotide long non-coding RNA is filed under the name Bemisia tabaci. RNAcentral's name for it is "lncRNA ENSSSA3NGG007207". Lineage: Eukaryota; Metazoa; Arthropoda; Insecta; Hemiptera; Aleyrodidae. The record is from RNAcentral.
AUGCGUGGUAUCAGCCGAUCCGCUUUCAUUCGGCCCCCCUCCAGGUACUGAUUUUCGCGUCGCCUUGUUUGCUCUAUCUCAAAGCGUUCUCCCACCUCAACCGAGAAUUUUCUAUUUCAGAUAUCAACCGUAGAACUUAGUCAUGAAUUUAGUCGCGAUUCCGAUUCCGAGUCGAUAUUUCCUCUGAAGGUCUUUUUACAUCGUGGUUUUUGGUGUUGGUUUGAGUUUGAGAUCAUCUCAAAUCGCAGUGUUAGUGCUUCACACAAUUUUUCGUGUUGCCACAAAAACUCCAGGAGAAUGGAGGAAACUGUGUUCACUCCGCGCAGAAUACUUUUCCUGGCGAAGAAACUUGACGUUAAUCUUCUCGCCAAAGCUGAGCAGCUACAAGAACACUUCAGCUGCUCUUUAAAUGUGGUUAUUAAGGAAAAAUUUGAAAUCGAUGACCCAUUAGAUAUUAUUGCAGAAACUCUAGUCGUAAUAGAUGAUUUUGAAGGUCCUCUUUUCGAACACCUUGAACAAAGAGUUCGCUCCUCUCCAAAGAUUAUUCAAGUCCGUGGACCUCCAGCCUUCAUCGAUGCCUGUGAUAAAUUAAGUUUAGAAACACGUAAGAGACCAUUGUUUUGUAAUGCAAUGACAUCAUUGGUUUUCUGCCUAAUUGUUAGGCAGAAAGAAUAAAGGUAUGUUGAUUUCUUUCCCCUUUACAGCCUAAUUAGUUAAAAUCCUUGGAAUUUGAAGAUAUAUUCCAGUGGUCUCAAUAUUACUUCACUCCCUAACUAUUUAGGUGUGGAUGACUUGCCAAUCUUAUAACUUGUCAAGCCAUCCAUGUGCUCGAUGUUAGCACUUAAUGUAAGAAAACGCAAGACUUAUUCACCUAAAAUUAAUAAUAACAUGUUAUUACAUUGACGGUCCUACUUAACAAACCCCUCCAUUUUUUUCUUGAGAGGGGGGCGGUUAAUGCGGUUAUGCCAUAACCAUUAAUCGUAGUGAGCUCUGUCAGGUAUCUGAAUUAUUUUUCAAAAGGUAUUUACUUUUACCUUGAGAGAACUGGACCCAGAGGAGCAAAGUGUUCUCGACUGCGCAAUUGUGACCUAAUGGCGGGCAUGCCCUUAAAAUUGCAGAGGCUGAGAGAGGUUUUUUUUAAGGGUUCUCAGGUCAAAUCAUCGCGCUCUAUCAACGUGCUUCUCGUAAAAAACUUGCGCGUUCCAAAGAUUUAACAAAAUUUUAA